AGGCUGUCACUGGCUCGGCCAGCAUUUAUUGCUGCGUUUACCCAGAGGGCAGUUAAGAGUCAACCACGUUGCUGUAGGUCUGGAGUCCCAUGCAGACCAGACCAGAUCGCAGUGAUCAAUGCCAAAGCCCCAUUGCCUGUGGAGAGGGUGAUGUUUGAUUUCCCUGUCCAGCUGCAAUUCAUGUGGUGAAGGUGCUCCCACAAUGUGGUUGGGUGGACAUUCAGAUGGUAAUCUCAGUAAUUGUAACGCCAAACUGUGACAAAAUUACUCAAUUCAUCAGGAGCUGGAUAUUCACAUUGUGUGGAUCUGCACUGGAACCCUUCUGUUUGCGGGACAAAUAUAUAUAAGUGACAUGGAUUAAAAUCUAAUUUGCUUUGAUGGAGAUGUGUUGAAAAUGUUUGCAG
Molecule: long non-coding RNA, 404 nt
Organism: Hemiscyllium ocellatum (epaulette shark)
Lineage: Eukaryota; Metazoa; Chordata; Chondrichthyes; Orectolobiformes; Hemiscylliidae
Exons: 5
Source: RefSeq, a predicted model, not a curated record